This 433-nucleotide ribosomal RNA is filed under the name uncultured bacterium. RNAcentral's name for it is "partial 16S ribosomal RNA". It matches the Rfam family "Bacterial small subunit ribosomal RNA", at positions 29 to 507 of the family's 1533-position model. The record is from RNAcentral.
AACGAACGCUGGCGGCAUGCCUAACACAUGCAAGUCGAACGAGACCUUCGGGUCUAGUGGCGCACGGGUGCGUAACGCGUGGGAACCUGCCCUUAGGUUCGGAAUAACUCUCCGAAAGGGGUGCUAAUACCGGAUAAUGUCUUCGGACCAAAGAUUUAUCGCCUUUGGAUGGGCCCGCGUUGGAUUAGCUAGUUGGUAGUGUAAAAGCCUACCAAGGCGACGAUCCAUAGCUGGUCUGAGAGAAAGAUCAGCCACACUGGGACUGAGACACGGCCCAGACUCCUACGGGAGGCAGCAGUGGGGAAUAUUGGACAAUGGGCGAAAGCCUGAUGCAGCUAGGCCGCGUGAGUGAUGAAGGCCUUAGGGUUGUAAAGCUCUUUUACCCGGGAUGAUAAUGACAGUACCGGGAGAAUAAGCUCCGGCUAACUCCGUG